ACAAAUAAUUCACAUCACGGAUGGACUGAUCCAAAAAUCCCUCUACUCUGUGCCCGGCCCUCGGUGGAGCUCCUCAGGACUUCUGUUACAUAUAUAAGCUCUGUGCCCGGCCCUCGGUGGGGCUCCUCAGGACUUCUAUUACAUAGCAUAAAAUCUAGAGGGCUAAUGGGUCGUCCUAUUGUCCAUCCACUCCCACAAUGAAUAAUGCAA
This 210-nucleotide long non-coding RNA is filed under the name Manihot esculenta (cassava). RNAcentral describes it as "long non-coding RNA (MESC_LNC010384)". Lineage: Eukaryota; Viridiplantae; Streptophyta; Magnoliopsida; Malpighiales; Euphorbiaceae. The record is from RNAcentral.